CAGACGUACAUACUAUCAGUCUUCUGAGGAACCUUAAUCUAAUUAGUAAUCAUACAUAAUUUGUAGAUUAGAUUGAUGAAACUAUGAAGCAGUGGUGUCAUUGGGAGUUGGAAGGAAGCCUUACUUACCUGUUAAUAAAUGUCUCUUCCCUCUGCUAUAUUUUCUCUUAAUAUCCAUGAUACUGCAACAAUAUAUAAUUCUCUUUAAUUGCACUGCCAAACUCGUCUCCCAAUAUAAGCUUUCAUUACAGCACUCAAUCAGACCAUUACACAUCAACCUGGAUUUUUUCUAAUACAUUGUUAUAAGUUUCAAGAAUUCCAACUUCUUUACAACUGCAGGCGGGAAAAAUGUACAAAAUAUGCCACAGAUAGCCAGAUGAACAUCAAAAAGAAAAAGUGUUGCAGAUCUUGUGCAAGGAACAAUCUUCUUUGAAUUCCCGCUCUCCCUACCCAACACACCCCACACCACCCCA
This 472-nucleotide unclassified non-coding RNA is filed under the name Hevea brasiliensis (rubber tree). The record is from RNAcentral. Lineage: Eukaryota; Viridiplantae; Streptophyta; Magnoliopsida; Malpighiales; Euphorbiaceae.